RNAcentral lists this ribosomal RNA (425 nucleotides) under uncultured bacterium. RNAcentral's name for it is "bacterial SSU rRNA". It matches the Rfam family "Bacterial small subunit ribosomal RNA", at positions 359 to 776 of the family's 1533-position model. The record is from RNAcentral.
GAAUAUUGGACAAUGGGCGAAAGCCUGAUCCAGCCAUGCCGCGUGUGUGAAGAAGGUCUUCGGAUUGUAAAGCACUUUAAGUUGGGAGGAAGGGUUGUAGAUUAAUACUCUGCAAUUUUGACGUUACCGACAGAAUAAGCACCGGCUAACUCUGUGCCAGCAGCCGCGGUAAUACAGAGGGUGCAAGCGUUAAUCGGAAUUACCGGGCGUAAAGCGCGCGUAGGUGGUUCGUUAAGUUGGAUGUGAAAUCCCCGGGCUCAACCUGGGAACUGCAUCCAAAACUGGCGAGCUAGAGUAGGGCAGAGGGUGGUGGAAUUUCCUGUGUAGCGGUGAAAUGCGUAGAUAUAGGAAGGAACACCAGUGGCGAAGGCGACCACCUGGGCUCAUACUGACACUGAGGUGCGAAAGCGUGGGGAGCAAACAGG